ACAGGGCGCAGCCCCGGGGCGGAGCUGGCGACCGCGGCGGCGGCGGUGGCGUCCGAGAGGAGGCACCGGCGCCGCAGCAGAGAGUCGCUGCUGGCGGGGGGCAGCGAGGCGCGGGCGGCCGAGCGGUGCGGCGCGAUGCGGCGGUGCCGGGGCGCAGGACUGGCGGCGCUGGCCAUGAUGGUCCUGGUGGCUGUGGGCAGGGCCCAGGUGCAGCAGGAGCCGUCGGCAGAGGCCACCGAGGGCACUGGCAUUAACAUCACCUGCUCACACCCCAGCAUACAGACCGGCGACUUCAUCCACUGGUACUGGCAGCUCCCAGGACGAGGUCCCGCGUUCAUCACGAGUGCUCACAAAGGGUCCAAAGAGGUGCAGGACCCGCCGGGGACCCUGUUCGUGGCCGAAGACCGCCGCUCCAGCGUCCUGCAUCUCGCCCGGCCCCGCUGGCGGGACGCGGCGGUGUAUUACUGCGCCGUGGGAGACCCGGCGGCACAGGCUGGGGCUGCGGCCGGGCACGAACUGCCGCGGGCGGGGCGGGGUGGGGCGGUGGCGGGGGCUGGGGAUGCGCCUCGCGCUGGCCCACUGGGGGCGCUGCCGCUCCGCCUGUCGCGGCCGCCUCUCCCCGCACCGCGCUGCGCCGGGCCUGCCCGUCGGCGGGUGCCGCUUCGGCGGGUGCUGCUGCGCCGGAGCCUCGGCGGCGGGACGGCCCCCCGAAAUGGUUCCCAAGCUGCCGAGUGGGCCAGCAGCUCCUCCCACCCCUCGCCCCCUCCCCCGCCCCACUGCUGCCCCCGCUCCUCUAAACCGCAACGAGGACAGACAUUCCCUGUGCAGCGGUGGGUCAGCGACCUGAGUGCUGGUGGUGCUAGUGGUGCCCGGAGAAGGGGCAGUUGCAGUGUAGAGAGGCAUCGUUUAUAAGAGAGAGGGUUAUAGUGGGGUGUCCUCUUCCUACUGGAUUCCGGGAGUGUGUUCUACCGGAUUCAGGGUGUGUGCCUGUCCCUGCAUGGGUGAUUGCUGCAGCAAGUGCUCUUUUCGAAGGUGUCUUUCCUGGGGAGCCCCCUCUGUGGCCGAGAGAGAAGGAAGAAAAAAACGCUGUGGUGUGGGUACGGAGUGUCAGACACCUGGAGAGAGGCACUUUUACUUGUGCAUGGUUCUAUCUCCAUCCAGACUGUCCCUGGGACAGGGUGGACGUGGGUGCAUGCCUGGGUUCCUUUUCCAUCCUUUCCAGAAUUGGCUGGAGGUCCUUCUGUCUGCCUGGGUGCUGGAUGGCAGGAGGAGAUCAUCAGGGCUGUUUGUCCCUUGCUGCAGGAUGGUUGGGCAGGUAGCGAUCUUCAGGAGGGCCAAAAUAGAAGGAAGGUGCCAGUAGCCUCCUUUGUGUCCCUUUUGCUUGACCUCAGCCUGCCUUAACUGUCCAUUAGGUUCCUAGAGCCCCUUGGGCAAUGCAGCCUGGGCUUCAGAGGAAGCAAAUGCCGCCCACCCAUGGCUUGACUGUGCAAGUACAAAACUUCCCAAGCUGAACAAAACCCAUGGCCCUGGAUUUGAGGAGCCUGGAUCCCAGCAAGGAUCCCUGCAGUUUGUCUGCUUUGCUGAGUGCUCUCAGCACUAGCCCACCAUCUGUCUAGAGAGACUUCUGGCAGUAGAGGUGUGGGUCUCAAGGAGGUCUGUCUGAAGCAGCAGUGUGGGAGCUUUGCUCCACCUUCUGUGCUGAGGUUUGGAGGCUGCUUUGAGGUGGCAGAGGGAGGAGAAGGCAGGCACCUGCAAGCUUCAGCUUGCUCAUUCUGGAAGGCCCCUGGUCAGCCCGUGAAGAGGAGAGCUUGACAUGGCCCUGAUUUUCCUGGCAGCCGUGGCAGGACUGGCAGACUUUGGUGAGACAUGACUUGCAGGCUGAGGAGGAACAGGGCAAGAGUUUGUGCUGUCAGUGGUGGAGGGGAGAGCUGUGAGUCCUGACCCUGCAGGUAACUGGCAGUGUUUCUGUAGGGAGGCAGGGGCUGCAGAUGGGGCAUCACAUAUAACCUGAGGUCUGUCGCGUGUCAUGGGCAUCAAAGGAGGAAUAGAUGAAACCUUAAUUUUGCAGAAACUAACAUUCUUGCAUACACUGCUGAUAGAGAGAGAUGCUAGCUAAGAGCCGAGUACUGCAUAUAGGGCCUUUUCUCCGAGACAUAUUGGGUAAAAUGCUGCAAAUCUGUGUGGGGUUGGAUGUAAUGCUUGAAGGACAUAGAGAGAAGGCUAACUCAAGGCAAGAGCUCAAAUGCUGUACAAGGACAGGUCAAGGGCAGAUUAUGUGGUGUGUAGUUUGGCGAGAAGGUUACAGUAAGAAGUUACCAUCAGAGGUAGGGGAGGAAUAGUGCAUGUGUUGUCUUGCUGAAGGAGAGACCAACAGUUACUAUAGCUCAGGGACUGAUAGGAAAACAACUGAUGGACUCCAAGCCCAUGACCCCCCCUCACAGCUGAGGUGUGAGGAGUGACAAGAACCUGCAAGCUGAAGCAUGCAUGGAGAAACAGCUCAGCAUUUUGCACCAUAGGAGAAGUUAGAUGGAGAAUGGGCGUAGCAAGAGGGCUGAUGAAGUGGUCAAUAGAUGGAUACAUAGAUGAACAAAGUUAAAACGCUUUCCUGGCUUUACAGGUCACGCACAAAAGGAUGCUGUGCUCUAGUUCCCACCAGAAACGACCAUCCAGGCAGGAUACAGUGCAACUUUGCAGUGCAAUUUCUCCACCAGUGACCCUUAUGCCUACAUUUUCUGGUACCGGCAGUUCCUGACCCGGUCGCCUGAGAUGCUGCUGUGUGUGGACAGAUCCAGACCUUGUGUGGAUUCAGGGAGGUUCUGCUGUGUGCUGUGUGCUGAGAGCUCCCAGGUGCUUCUCCCAGGUGCAGGAUGCUGAGCUCCAGGACAAUGCUGUCUAUCUCUGUGCUCUAAGCCCACACCAGUGCGUACAUCAUGCAGCAUUGCACAGAAAGGCUUGUGGUCUGCUUUGGGGAGGUCACCCCAUUUCUGGGAACUAGUUUGUCCCUCUGCAUGUAGUGCUUUUUGCAUGCCAGGUCUGACUGGUGGAGCAAAGAGCUGGCCCUGGAGAGCAGGUGUGACUGCUGCUGGCAAAUCAGCCAUGGUGGCUGCAGAGAAGCAUUAGGUGGUGUUUCCUCCCUGAGGGAGGAAAUGUGCUGGUGUUUGCUCCUAGUGCAGGGCACUGCUCCUUGUCCCCGGCAUGGGGGAGACAGCUGGGGAGCCACCUUCACUUUCAAGCUCUGCUUCUCCUGGUAUUGGAGCCCAGUUCCUCUGUGGGGCUGCAGUUUACCCCCCCUGCCCAGGAUACACCCAGACUCCCAGGGCUAGGUCAGAGCAGGGCUCCCCACUCAGCCUGCUAGAGAUUUUGUGGAGAGAUGAUAUUCCCAGGCACUGGAGGAAGGAAGAGGGAGAAGUGGUAGCAGUAGCGGGGACACCUGUGCAUAGAGGAAAUACCACCAUCCAACGAGAAGCAGGGACUGCAGAGGAAGGUGUGAAAUCCCAGUGAGGCAAGCACGCUGCACUCACAAAAGGCCCAGCAGAGGUGCGCAGAAGAGCAGGCAUGUCUAGCUGGGGAGGCAAAGACACUGGUGGAGGAGAGAAAACCACAGCAGGGGCAUUUCAGGCAUGGUGAGAGAAAAUGUGCUUCCUUCCUUGUUCCCUUGGUGGUGUCAUUUCCAGCAGCUCCGCUCCCUCAAGGCUGGGAGGUGGUUUUUGACUCUCUCUUUCACACACAACCCCUGCGGUUGGGCUCAGCAUGCACCUUGAGUAUCUCGUCCUCGCUGCCUUCCUGUGGCAACCACUGGGUAAGCACCGACUUUUACUUGAGGCUUAGUUCCUCUUUUCUAUGGGAAACCCUAGCACCCUCUCCACCUCCCUCCCUCCCCCCAUAUCUCUGCAGGGAGGUGGUCUUGCAUAAAGGGACAAUGCUGGGAAAUGUUGGCUCAUGUGUGCUUUCACAUGAAUAGUCUCAGGACACUGUUACUGUUGGAAAAGAAAGGGGAAGACGGAGAGAGGAGAAACCUGCCCUGCUCCCUGUGAACCACCGUCUCCCCAUUUCCUUCCCGCAGCCAUCCAUCUCUGUCUGCUUCUCUCUUCUGACCCACCUGGGACCAAUGUUUCACAAAUGUCCUGUUGUGGGAGCUCUUAGUUGUCCUGCAGUCCCCACUUUCUGUCUUUGCAAUGCCAAAAAGGUGACCUUAUGAAGACUGCUACAGGGCCUGGCAUGACAUUAUUAGCUUGUCCCAGUCUGUCUGCCAGCUGGCACAGCCCUGACCACGCAUUUCCUCCUGCAUGUCAUUGCUGCUGGGGCUUCCUUUUCCCUCCUUUGAGCCUUGGUUUCCAUGCACUCAGGGACACAGGAACCAUCGGAGAUGACAGGGUUUUGGAAGGAGGAUGUAACUUUCUCCCAGCAGCUCCCUGGGCCCCUGCCCAGACUGAAGGUGUCCUGGUGCCAGCACGUAAGGGCCAGGCCUGACAGGAUGUUCCCUGGGACUCUGGGCAGCAGGAGAGCAGGGAGCAAGGGCACAGCAGAGCUGUGCUCCGGGGGCAUCCUGGCAGGAGGGCAUGGGAUUCUCACGGUGCGAGAGGUACACGGAGCCAAGAACUGGGUGCUCCUGUGCCAAACCACUCACCACCUUGCUGUUGCCAGCCGUGGGGCUCCUGUUGCAGAGCAAGGGAGAGGGAGCCUUCUGCCCUGAGGCUUUGGCAUCCUGUCAUGCUUUUCAUCCUGAAGGCUUUCCCCACAUGCUCACUAACUGUCACUUUCUUCCAGGUGCCAUGGGCCAGACCAGUGUCACCCAGCAAGAGGGACCAGUCCCGGUGGAGGAGAGGGUCACCUUCCACACCACCUGCACAUACCAGACCUCGAACUUUUAUGGCUUGUCUUGGUACCAGCAGAAGGAAGACCGAGCCCUGCAAGCUGGUCUCAUCUCAGGCGGCAGCUGGCCUCAAGCAGAGUGGCUGAUUCACCACAAUGCUGAACACCACUGGGUUCUGGAGGCCAAAGCCAGGAGUGAGGGAUCAUCUAAGCUCUGACUGUGGAAUACUACCUGCCAUUGGUGGCUUCUGUAGGGGCUGAAAAGCCUCUUCCUUGUGGCAGUGCUUGUAGGUCUGUGAGGGACAAAUGCUGGGAAAGCAGAGGUGAUUUCAGCCUGUGGAGAUCAGGAACAUGUCUGUGUACUCGUCA
This is a long non-coding RNA of Dromaius novaehollandiae (emu), 5181 nucleotides long. RefSeq lists it as uncharacterized. The record is from RefSeq and is a predicted model, not a curated record. NCBI's taxonomy places the organism in Eukaryota, Metazoa, Chordata, Aves, Casuariiformes, Dromaiidae. The transcript is spliced from 2 exons.